UCAUACUCACUAAGUUUUAUACGCCAUUGAGUUAAUUUUGAAAUAGGAUCUUUCAACCCAUGUAACCAUACAAGAGGUCUAUGGUCUGUUACUAAAAAAAAACUUCGCCCAUAUAAAUAAGCUUUCUGAAGGAUUCUGGAAGCAUAUGCAAUGGGUAAAUCCUGACCAAUAACUCCCUGACUCAAAACACCACCAAGAGCGUAAUUCGAUUCAUCAAUCGUUAAUACAAAAGGUUUUGAGAAAUCAGGAUACUGUAACAAUGGGUCGGAACAGAUUUUAUCACGCAGAAUUUCAGAAGCUGUUUGCUGCUCAUUUGUCCAUUUAAAUUCGACCUUAUCUUUUAAAAGGUAAUUUAAUAGUGGAGUAACACGUCAAUGGAAAAUUUUCAUCACCCAGAUCAAGACUAUCAUCUACAAAAUUAAGAAUGGCUCGCUGUUUCCGAAGGAAAGUUAUUCCUAUCAGUCCAUCCUCAGUUAUAGGAAAAGCUUUUGAAACUACAUGAAAGGAUGUUUCUACGCCUCGGAGUAGCAUUUUAACUUCACCCUGUGUUGGAAUCAUUUUGGAUCCGAUUCCAAUCAAAUUUAAAACAUGUUCCCGAUUAAUUUUUAUGUGUGAAUCCAAAGCUGUUUCUUUAAUCAAAUUUACACUAGCACCUGUGUCUAUCAAUAAUUUUGUUUUGCCUUUCUGAAAAAAAUAAUGCUGCAAUUCUACCACCGCGGCGGGCUCUAUACCAUUAUUCUCCCCGAGUUUAAGAACGACGCGGGUUGAGAGGGUCCGAUUUCCUGAGACAUCCUGCCCUCUGUAGGAUGACCCUGUUUCGAGUUUAAAUGAUGAUUCUUAAAAUCUUGAUUUCGCAUUCUUUCCUUACCGUGCUUCGCCUUCAUAUGACAUUUACUAAUAUCAUGAUUCAACCUAAAACAAUAAGUGCAAUUUUCCCUCUCUUUGCCCUGGUUUACAUUAUUUUUUUUUCGUUUAGGACACUCACGCCGAAAAUGACCUGUUUCUUUACAGUCGUAACAUUGAAUAUUCCUUUUUUUGUUUACAUUUUCCUCAAUACUAACGUGCGCUACCCUCUUACGAGGAUUUGAACCCAUUUUAAAGUCUGAAUCGAAAUCAGGUUUAAUUUUUCCUAUUUCUUCUGAAUGAGCCCUAUCCCAGCUUUUAAACUGAAUCUCUUCUUGAGAUGCCAUCACUAUUGCUUCAUCCAAAGUAGCAGGAUUUAUACUUUUUAUUAUCGCGAAUAUCUCUCUAUUUAAUCCCCUCAUGAAAGUAGCUGUCGCACUUUCUUUAUGUGCUUCUAUUCUUUCAUUUCCUUUUAGCCCCGGAGUUUUUUCCAAAGUUAUAUUAAUUAAUUCAUCUAAUAUUUGAUUAACCCGUGCCCCAAAGUCGGUUAUGCUUUCGUUUGGUUUUUUGACAGCCAUAGUUAAUUCUUGUGAUAAUUGUGUGAUGUCUAAUUUUGGUAAAUAAAUUCUCUCAAGUUUUUUAAACA
Belonocnema kinseyi is the source of this 1489-nucleotide long non-coding RNA. RefSeq lists it as uncharacterized. The record is from RefSeq and is a predicted model, not a curated record. Lineage: Eukaryota; Metazoa; Arthropoda; Insecta; Hymenoptera; Cynipidae. The transcript is spliced from 3 exons.